This 253-nucleotide ribosomal RNA is filed under the name uncultured bacterium. RNAcentral's name for it is "partial 16S ribosomal RNA". It matches the Rfam family "Bacterial small subunit ribosomal RNA", at positions 524 to 776 of the family's 1533-position model. The record is from RNAcentral.
UACGGAGGGGGCUAGCGGUGUUCGGAUUUACUGGGCGCAAAGCGCGCGUAGGCUGCUUGGAAAGUUGGGAGUGAAAGCCCGGGGCUCAACCCCGGAACUGCUCUCAAAACUUCCAAGCUAGAGAUCUGGAGAGGAGGGUGGAAUUCCAAGUGUAGAGGUGAAAUUCGUAGAUAGUUGGAAGAACACCAGUGGCGAAGGCGACUCUCUGGCCAGAUACUGACGCUGAGGUGCUAAAGCCUGGCGACCAAACAGG